AUUGAACGCUGGCGGCAGGCCUAACACAUGCAAGUCGAGCGGAUGAGUGGAGCUUGCUCCAUGAUUCAGCGGCGGACGGGUGAGUAAUGCCUAGGAAUCUGCCUGGUAGUGGGGGACAACGUUUCGAAAGGAACGCUAAUACCGCAUACGUCCUACGGGAGAAAGCAGGGGACCUUCGGGCCUUGCGCUAUCAGAUGAGCCUAGGUCGGAUUAGCUAGUAGGUGAGGUAAUGGCUCACCUAGGCGACGAUCCGUAACUGGUCUGAGAGGAUGAUCAGUCACACUGGAACUGAGACACGGUCCAGACUCCUACGGGAGGCAGCAGUGGGGAAUAUUGGACAAUGGGCGAAAGCCUGAUCCAGCCAUGCCGCGUGUGUGAAGAAGGUCUUCGGAUUGUAAAGCACUUUAAGUUGGGAGGAAGGGCAGUAAGUUAAUACCUUGCUGUUUUGACGUUACCAACAGAAUAAGCACCGGCUAACUUCGUGCCAG
Molecule: ribosomal RNA, 488 nt
Filed under: uncultured bacterium
Lineage: Bacteria
Description: bacterial SSU rRNA
Rfam family: Bacterial small subunit ribosomal RNA
Source: RNAcentral